This 628-nucleotide long non-coding RNA is filed under the name Cercocebus atys (sooty mangabey). Its description in RNAcentral is "lncRNA (ENSCATG00000045684.1)". The record is from RNAcentral. Lineage: Eukaryota; Metazoa; Chordata; Mammalia; Primates; Cercopithecidae.
GAAAAUAACAUCUUGAUGAGCUGGUUAUAAAUGAACAUGUGGAUUGUGUUUUCCUUAAUAUACCAAUAGUUUAUCGUGGCAGAAAUAAAUGCUAAGAGCAGAAAGGAUCCCCAGUGCUAGAUCCUUGACUUUGAGAGCAAAGGAGCUCAAGACAUUCAGCAAAUUCAAAACAUCCCCUUUACCCACAUUUUAAGAUUAUGUUUGUAUAGUUGUUUCUUAUGACAUUUCAAAGCUUCUUCAUAAUUCUAGGUAUUGAUUUGAAAAUGCCAGUUUUCAAUACUAAAUAAUGGUGGAAUAAAAUUUUCUGUGAAUUAAUUUUUCAGCCACAAGAGGACAAACACUGUAUGGAAAAUGAUUCUACUUUCACCAGGAAGGAAAUGUCAUGGGCCUCCGAAUUGGGAGGGGGAAAAAAAAUCUUGCAGCAGUGCCUAUUGGAAAUUACCAGGAAUAAAUAUCUUUUUUUUCUUGAAAUAAAGUUCAAGGGCUUUUCUGGAGUGAGGGAGCAGACUGAGGGAAGAACCAGAAGGCUGCCAAAAUGUAAGUCAUGGUGGAUAUGAUAGACAAAACGACCGGAGAAUAAGAGGAAAGCUGACAUCAAGGAAAUAUCAAUAUCUGUCGAGAAGAUUAG